AGAGUUUGAUCAUGGCUCAGGAUGAACGCUGGCGGCGUGCCUAAUACAUGCAAGUCGAACGCUUUGUCUUUAAUUGAUAUGAAGAGCUUGCUCUGAUUUGAUUUUAUCUGACAAAGAGUGGCGAACGGGUGAGUAACACGUGGGUAACCUACCUCUUAGCAGGGGAUAACAUUUGGAAACAAGUGCUAAUACCGUAUAACACUAACAACCGCAUGGUUGUUAGUUGAAAGAUGGUUCUGCUAUCACUAAGAGAUGGACCCGCGGUGCAUUAGCUAGUUGGUAAGGUAAUGGCUUACCAAGGCGAUGAUGCGUAGCCGAGUUGAGAGACUGAUCGGCCACAAUGGGACUGAGACACGGCCCAUACUCCUACGGGAGGCAGCAGUAGGGAAUCUUCCACAAUGGGCGCAAGCCUGAUGGAGCAACGCCGCGUGUGUGAUGAAGGGUUUCGGCUCGUAAAACACUGUUAUAAGAGAAGAACGACAUUGAGAGUAACUGUUCAGUGUGUGACGGUAUCUUAUCAGAAAGGAACGGCUAAAUACGUGCCAGCAGCCGCGGUAAUACGUAUGUUCCAAGCGUUAUCCGGAUUUAUUGGGCGUAAAGCGAGCGCAGACGGUUAUUUAAGUCUGAAGUGAAAGCCCUCAGCUCAACUGAGGAAGGGCUUUGGAAACUGGAUAACUUGAGUGCAGUAGAGGAAAGUGGAACUCCAUGUGUAGCGGUGAAAUGCGUAGAUAUAUGGAAGAACACCGGUGGCGAAAGCGGCUUUCUGGACUGUAACUGACGUUGAGGCUCGAAAGUGUGGGUAGCAAACAGGAUUAGAUACCCUGGUAGUCCACACCGUAAACGAUGAGUGCUAGAUGUUCGAGGGUUUCCGC
RNAcentral lists this ribosomal RNA (872 nucleotides) under uncultured bacterium. Its description in RNAcentral is "bacterial SSU rRNA". It matches the Rfam family "Bacterial small subunit ribosomal RNA", at positions 8 to 837 of the family's 1533-position model. The record is from RNAcentral.